GCAUAAUGUUCUGAAUUUCUCUUUUUUUCAAGGAAGGACUGGCUGCCCAGCUGGAGGGAGUUCAGUCAUCAGAUAGCCUCAAGGCAUCAGCUAUAACAGGGUUUGUCUCAGCUGCCAAGAUCUGUCUUGCCUGAGGUCAAGUAAUUCUUUCUGGGUGACCCACUGACGCUGCUGACUCCGUGUUUCCCUAUCUGACAGUGUGGGGCUGGAUGGCCUCUGGCUGUCAUAUUUUGAGCCUUCGUCCCAUGCCAGGUCCUGAGCUGCUACUGAGGCAACCAGCAGUUUGUGGACUCUCACCAGCACAUGCAGAACCAACAUGGCCAUGCUUCUGGCAGAUCAUGCUGCAGACCUCUCAUCUCCUCUCUGGGGUUUUCUGCUGUAUAUGUACAUGUGCAGUUCAGUGCCCAGCUCAGAAGCAUGCAGGAGUUAACACACCUGAUGAGAGAGAGAUAAAGAAUCCAGGAUCAUAGAAAAAGCAAGGGAAUUCCAGAAAAAGCAUCUACUUCUGGUAAGCCUUUGACUGGGUGGAGCACAACAAACUGUGGAAAUUCCUUAAAUGGAUGGGAAUACCAGACCACCUUUCCUGUCUCCUGAGAAACCUACGUGCAGGACAAGAGUCAACAGUUAGACCUGGACAUGGAAAAAUGGACUGGUUCCAAAUUGAGAAAAGAGUAUGUCAAGGCUGUAUAUUGUCACCCUGCUUAUAUAACUUAUAUGCAGGAUACAUCAUGUGAAAUGCCGGGCUGGAAGAAUCACAAGCUGAAAUCAAGAUUGCCAGAAGAAAUUUCAACAACCUCAGAUAUGCCGAUGAUACCACUCUAGUGGCAGAAAGCAAGAGAAACUAAACAGUCUCUUGAGGAAAGUGAAAGAGGAGGGUGAAAAAGCUGGCUUAACACUCCAAAAAUUAAGAUCAUGGCUUUGGGUCUCAUCACUUCAUGGCAAAUAGAUGGGGAAAAAUGGAAACAGUGUCAGACUUUAUUUUCUUGGGCUCUGAAAUCACUGUGAUGGUGACUGCAGCCAUGAUAUUAAAAGAUGCUUGCUCCUUGAAAGAAAGACUAUGACAACUAAUGUAGAUAGCAUAUUGAAAAGCAGAGACAUGCCCUGAAGGAAUUCGUGUUGGUACAGAGGUGCCUGUAGGGGUCAUGGGCCACCAGACCACCCCCGGGGCUGGAGGCCUAUGGUCCCUCCUAGGCCCCGAUUCUCACCUCCUCAACUCCUCACCUCCCGCCGUCUUGGGGGCCCCUAUGGCUUGUGGCACAGAUGGGGAGUGCAUAUUUUACCAUCUGUGAAAACUUCUCUGUAAUUUAUUUUUUCCUCACUCAAGUAUUAAACAUUACAGCAAAUUUAAAAGAUAUGAAUGAAUAUCCUACAAAAAGAAAAAGGAAGACUUCACAUCUUUCUACUUAUUCAGAUUCCUCUGGAAUAAGCAGAAUUGCAGAUAGGUUCAGUGGAAUUUUUUUUUUUUGAUCAUUGUUACAGUGUUCUAUGAGACAACCAGACAAAAUAUUUUGACAAUAAAGAUGAUGAUUCAGAUACA
Bos indicus x Bos taurus (hybrid cattle) is the source of this 1537-nucleotide long non-coding RNA. The record is from Ensembl. NCBI's taxonomy places the organism in Eukaryota, Metazoa, Chordata, Mammalia, Artiodactyla, Bovidae.